This 497-nucleotide ribosomal RNA is filed under the name uncultured bacterium. Its description in RNAcentral is "partial 16S ribosomal RNA". It matches the Rfam family "Bacterial small subunit ribosomal RNA", at positions 34 to 507 of the family's 1533-position model. The record is from RNAcentral.
UCUGCCCGCUGGCGGCGUGCCUAAUACAUGCAAGUCGAGCGAACAGACGAGGAGCUUGCUCCUCUGACGUUAGCGGCGGACGGGUGAGUAACACGUGGAUAACCUACCUAUAAGACUGGGAUAACUUCGGGAAACCGGAGCUAAUACCGGAUAAUAUAUUGAACCGCAUGGUUCAAUAGUGAAAGACGGUUUUGCUGUCACUUAUAGAUGGAUCCGCGCCGCAUUAGCUAGUUGGUAAGGUAACGGCUUACCAAGGCGACGAUGCGUAGCCGACCUGAGAGGGUGAUCGGCCACACUGGAACUGAGACACGGUCCAGACUCCUACGGGAGGCAGCAGUAGGGAAUCUUCCGCAAUGGGCGAAAGCCUGACGGAGCAACGCCGCGUGAGUGAUGAAGGUCUUCGGAUCGUAAAACUCUGUUAUUAGGGAAGAACAAAUGUGUAAGUAACUAUGCACGUCUUGACGGUACCUAAUCAGAAAGCCACGGCUAACUACGUG